GAUGAACGCUAGCUACAGGCUUAACACAUGCAAGUCGAGGGGCAGCAUGGUCUUAGCUUGCUAAGGCCGAUGGCGACCGGCGCACGGGUGAGUAACACGUAUCCAACCUGCCGUCUACUCUUGGACAGCCUUCUGAAAGGAAGAUUAAUACAAGAUGGCAUCAUGAGUUCACAUGUUCACAUGAUUAAAGGUAUUCCGGUAGACGAUGGGGAUGCGUUCCAUUAGAUAGUAGGCGGGGUAACGGCCCACCUAGUCUUCGAUGGAUAGGGGUUCUGAGAGGAAGGUCCCCCACAUUGGAACUGAGACACGGUCCAAACUCCUACGGGAGGCAGCAGUGAGGAAUAUUGGUCAAUGGGCGAGAGCCUGAACCAGCCAAGUAGCGUGAAGGAUGACUGCCCUAUGGGUUGUAAACUUCUUUUAUAAAGGAAUAAAGUCGGGUAUGUAUACCCGUUUGCAUGUACUUUAUGAAUAAGGAUCGGCUAACUCCGUG
This 490-nucleotide ribosomal RNA is filed under the name uncultured bacterium. Its description in RNAcentral is "partial 16S ribosomal RNA". It matches the Rfam family "Bacterial small subunit ribosomal RNA", at positions 28 to 507 of the family's 1533-position model. The record is from RNAcentral.